Physella acuta is the source of this 1221-nucleotide long non-coding RNA. RefSeq lists it as uncharacterized. Lineage: Eukaryota; Metazoa; Mollusca; Gastropoda; Physidae. The record is from RefSeq and is a predicted model, not a curated record.
UUGGUCAUCAAGAUUUCAUAACUACAACUGAUGUUCAAUUACAAGGGAUAUUAAUCAGUCUCCGUGGACUAUACACUGUGCCUAGUUUCAUCCUCAGAGACUGAUGUGUAAGCUUAAAGUAAAGACAUCAAAUCAAAGUAUCAGCUAUCAAGAGGAAGAACAUUCAAAAUCAUAUUGUGAUACACAAAUCAAGCAAGUCUAUAACCAGCAAUAUGAUACAGGCCAAGAAAAAGCUGGAUAUUUGAUUGGAAGGGUGGCACAAAAAAGAUGGGUUAUCACUAGGGAAACAAGCUCGGAAUACAGUUAACUGUUGGGACAUCAAGCCAAAUACUUCUAAACUUAUUUGAAUCAUUUUUGCUGUUUAUUAUAAUUCAUCCAAUUGUCUUAUUAAAUAUAUAAAUUUAUAUAUAUACACAAUUCCUAAUAUAGAAUUUCUAAAAAUGUUUUAUUAUAAUAUUUAAAAAUGAAACAAACAUGUUCCCAGAACACAGCCACAUAAUUUCAACAUGUUCCCAGAACACACAAAAUGUCAACAUGUUCCAUGAACUCACAAAAUGGCAACAUGUUCCCAGAACACAGCCAAAUAAUGGCAACAUGUUCCCAGAACACAGCCAAACAAUGUCAACAUGUUCCAUGAACUCACAAAAUGGCAACAUGUUCCCAGAACACACAAAAUGUCAUUAUGUGCCCAGAACACACAAAAUGGCAACAUGUUCCCAGAACACACAAAAUGGCAACAUGUGUCGAGAACACAAAAAAUGACAACAUGUGCCGUUAACAAUACUUCACUUUUUCCUUAACAAUUUUACAAGCAGGUAAUAAAGCCAUAAAUCUUUACUGUGGAUAUAGCCAAUAAAUAGGGUAACCUUCACUUUAUGCAAUUUGUAGUUUUCAAUGCCUGUCCCAUGCAUAGUAUUUAGCCUAGUGUUUUGGGCCUUGCUUCAUUUACUCAAUAAAUUAUAUAGGCAUGAGAAUUUUCAUUUUAAUCUGCAAAAGCUACAUUCUGUACAUUAUUAUUUUCAAACUACAUCAUAUAUUUUUCUCCUCUCUGAUAAAAAAUAUUCCUCAUAUUGUUUGUGUCAAGUAUUUUAUUUUUAUCUAUGCAAUGCUAUAUUCCUAUUUUAUAAUAAUUACUUUUAUACAAAUUCUUUUGAAAACUGUUCUUUAUUGAUUUGUAUCAUUUUCUUUAUUUCUGAAAAAUAAAACUUUGUUUGGGAAUCC